This 30-nucleotide small RNA is filed under the name Bombyx mori (domestic silkworm). RNAcentral describes it as "ovarian small RNA-26626". Lineage: Eukaryota; Metazoa; Arthropoda; Insecta; Lepidoptera; Bombycidae. The record is from RNAcentral.
UCCACACCAUUGAGCCUGGUCUACGGCUCU